This 72-nucleotide transfer RNA is filed under the name Anguilla anguilla (European eel). It matches the Rfam family "tRNA". Rfam says of the family: Transfer RNA (tRNA) molecules are approximately 80 nucleotides in length. Lineage: Eukaryota; Metazoa; Chordata; Actinopteri; Anguilliformes; Anguillidae. The record is from Rfam by way of RNAcentral.
GUCGGAGUAGCUUAACUGGUAGAGCGUCAGACUGAAGAUCUGAGGGUUCUAGUUCGAAUCUGGACCGUGGCA